Non-coding RNA from Biomphalaria glabrata, 59 nucleotides. The record is from Rfam. Lineage: Eukaryota; Metazoa; Mollusca; Gastropoda; Planorbidae.
AUGGCUGAGUGGUGAAGCGCUUGGCUUCCGAACCGAGGGUUCCGGGUUCGAACCCUGGU